GUUAAAACAUCUAUAAUAAACAUUAUUUAUUUUUAUAGUUUAUAAACAUCUAUUAACCAACCAUUUCUUGGUUUAAGCAUUUCAAACUAGUGCUUUUUCUACUGCAUAGAGUUUGGUUUGUUUGUUUAUUUUAGUUACAUAUAAAAAUGCAGAAAGGUAGGCAAUUUGGCUGCUUGGCUGUAACAUUUAUAGAAGUAAACUAAAUUUCACCUGUCAGGACAGAAUUUAAAACUCCUAGAGGAAAAGUAGACCAUUAAAUAUCUUUAAAAUACUCUUUACACAGUUAUUUUCAACCAACUGCAAACAAGAGAGAUGAGUCAUCAUCUGGAGCACAUGGAUUAUGGGAGGAUUCCAAAUACCCUUCCCCAGUGCAUAUUCAAAACAUCCCAAGUUUAAAACUGGAAAUGCUGAUUGCUUCAGAGCCACUUAAAGUCAUUCCUUAGAAACAUCAUGCUCUUGCCAUUUUGUGAAAAUAUGUCCAAGAAAUGAAAU
Molecule: long non-coding RNA, 492 nt
Filed under: Sus scrofa (pig)
Lineage: Eukaryota; Metazoa; Chordata; Mammalia; Artiodactyla; Suidae
Description: lncRNA (ENSSSCG00025023167.1)
Source: RNAcentral